CCCCUAGACGUUCUGGGCUGCACGCGCGCUACAAUAAUACGCCCAGCGAGUAUCACCGAGCUCGAAAGGGCAAGGUAAACAAUAGAAAAGGUACUGUAAUGGUUAUAGAUCCUUGUAAUUAUUGAUCUUCAACGAGGAAUUCCUAGUAAGUAUGUGUCAUCAUCACGCACUGAUUACGUCCCUGCCCUUUGUACACACCGCCCGUCGCUCCUACCGAUUGAAUGCUCAGGUGAGCCAUUCGGACUUUCAUCAUGCUGGUUUCCAGUUUUGAUGAAGGAAAGUCUUGCGAACCUUAUCAUUUAGAGGAAGGAGAAGUCGUAACA
Molecule: ribosomal RNA, 323 nt
Filed under: uncultured eukaryote
Lineage: Eukaryota
Description: partial 18S ribosomal RNA
Rfam family: Eukaryotic small subunit ribosomal RNA
Source: RNAcentral